CCUACGGGAGGCAGCAGUGAGGAAUAUUGGUCAAUGGGCGAGAGCCUGAACCAGCCAAGUCGCGUGAAGGAUGACGGCCCUACGGGUUGUAAACUUCUUUUGUCAGGGAGCAAUUGAUUCCACGUGUGGUCUUAGCGAGAGCACCUGAAGAAAAAGCAGCGGCGAACUCCGUGCCAGCAGCCGCGGUAAUACGGAGGAUGCGAGCGUUAUCCGGAUUUAUUGGGUUGAAAGGGGGCGUAGGCGGAAUAUCAAGUCAGCGGUAAAAAUUCGGGGCUCAACCCCGUCGUGCCGUUGAAACUGGUGUUCUUGAGUGGGCGAGAGGUAUGCGGAAUGCGUGGUGUAGCGGUGAAAUGCAUAGAUAUCACGCAGAACUCCGAUUGCGAAGGCAGCAUACCGGCGCCCAACUGACGCUGAAGCACGAAAGCGUGGGUAUCGAACAGGAUUAGAUACCCCUGUAGUC
Molecule: ribosomal RNA, 460 nt
Filed under: uncultured bacterium
Lineage: Bacteria
Description: partial 16S ribosomal RNA
Rfam family: Bacterial small subunit ribosomal RNA
Source: RNAcentral